AAUCCAUAGGUUAAUGAGGCGAACCGGGGGAACUGAAACAUCUAAGUACCCCGAGGAAAAGAAAUCAACCGAGAUUCCCCCAGUAGCGGCGAGCGAACGGGGAGGAGCCCAGAGCCUGAAUCAGCAUGUGUGUUAGUGGAAGCGUCUGGAAAGGCGCGCGAUACAGGGUGACAGCCCCGUACACAAAAGCGCAUGUGCUGUGAGCUCGAUGAGUAGGGCGGGACACGUGGUAUCCUGUCUGAAUAUGGGGGGACCAUCCUCCAAGGCUAAAUACUCCUGACUGACCGAUAGUGAACCAGUACCGUGAGGGAAAGGCGAAAAGAACCCCGGCGAGGGGAGUGAAAAAGAACCUGAAACCGUGUACGUACAAGCAGUGGGAGCACAGGUUUACCUGUGUGACUGCGUACCUUUUGUAUAAUGGGUCAGCGACUUAUAUUCUGUAGCAAGGUUAACCGAAUAGGGGAGCCGGAGGGAAACCGAGUCUUAAUUGGGCGUUAAGUUGCAGGGUAUAGACCCGAAACCCGGUGAUCUAGCCAUGGGCAGGUUGAAGGUUGGGUAACACUAACUGGAGGACCGAACCGACUAAUGUUGAAAAAUUAGCGGAUGACCUGUGGCUGGGGGUGAAAGGCCAAUCAAACCGGGAGAUAGCUGGUUCUCCCCGAAAGCUAUUUAGGUAGCGCCUCGUGAAUUCAUCUCCGGGGGUAGAGCACUGUUUCGGCUAGGGGGCCAUCCCGGCUUACCAACCCGAUGCAAACUGCGAAUACCGGAGAAUGUUAUCACGGGAGACACACGGCGGGUGCUAACGUCCGUCGUGAAGAGGGAAACAACCCAGACCGCCAGCUAAGGUCCCAAAGUCAUGGUUAAGUGGGAAACGAUGUGGGAAGGCCCAGACAGCCAGGAUGUUGGCUUAGAAGCAGCCAUCAUUUAAAGAAAGCGUAAUAGCUCACUGGUCGAGUCGGCCUGCGCGGAAGAUGUAACGGGGCUAAACCAUGCACCGAAGCUGCGGCAGCGACACUGUGUGUUGUUGGGUAGGGGAGCGUUCUGUAAGCCUGUGAAGGUGUGUCGUGAGGCAUGCUGGAGGUAUCAGAAGUGCGAAUGCUGACAUAAGUAACGAUAAAGCGGGUGAAAAGCCCGCUCGCCGGAAGACCAAGGGUUCCUGUCCAACGUUAAUCGGGGCAGGGUGAGUCGACCCCUAAGGCGAGGCCGAAAGGCGUAGUCGAUGGGAAACGGGUUAAUAUUCCCGUACUUGGUGUUACUGCGAAGGGGGGACGGAGAAGGCUAUGUUGGCCGGGCGACGGUUGUCCCGGUUUAAGCGUGUAGGUGUGUGUUCCAGGUAAAUCCGGUUCACUUUAACACUGAGGCGUGACGACGAGGCACUACGGUGCUGAAGCAACAAAUGCCCUGCUUCCAGGAAAAGCCUCUAAGCAUCAGGUAACAUCAAAUCGUACCCCAAACCGACACAGGUGGUCAGGUAGAGAAUACCAAGGCGCUUGAGAGAACUCGGGUGAAGGAACUAGGCAAAAUGGUGCCGUAACUUCGGGAGAAGGCACGCUGACACGUAGGUGAAGUGAUUUACUCAUGGAGCUGAAGUCAGUCGAAGAUACCAGCUGGCUGCAACUGUUUAUUAAAAACACAGCACUGUGCAAACACGAAAGUGGACGUAUACGGUGUGACGCCUGCCCGGUGCCGGAAGGUUAAUUGAUGGGGUCAGCGCAAGCGAAGCUCCUGAUCGAAGCCCCGGUAAACGGCGGCCGUAACUAUAACGGUCCUAAGGUAGCGAAAUUCCUUGUCGGGUAAGUUCCGACCUGCACGAAUGGCGUAAUGAUGGCCAGGCUGUCUCCACCCGAGACUCAGUGAAAUUGAACUCGCUGUGAAGAUGCAGUGUACCCGCGGCAAGACGGAAAGACCCCGUGAACCUUUACUAUAGCUUGACACUGAACAUUGAGCCUUGAUGUGUAGGAUAGGUGGGAGGCUUUGAAGUGUGGACGCCAGUCUGCAUGGAGCCGACCUUGAAAUACCACCCUUUAAUGUUUGAUGUUCUAACGUGGACCCGUUACCCGGGUUGCGGACAGUGUCUGGUGGGUAGUUUGACUGGGGCGGUCUCCUCCUAAAGAGUAACGGAGGAGCACGAAGGUUGGCUAAUCCUGGUCGGACAUCAGGAGGUUAGUGCAAUGGCAUAAGCCAGCUUGACUGCGAGCGUGACGGCGCGAGCAGGUGCGAAAGCAGGUCAUAGUGAUCCGGUGGUUCUGAAUGGAAGGGCCAUCGCUCAACGGAUAAAAGGUACUCCGGGGAUAACAGGCUGAUACCGCCCAAGAGUUCAUAUCGACGGCGGUGUUUGGCACCUCGAUGUCGGCUCAUCACAUCCUGGGGCUGAAGUAGGUCCCAAGGGUAUGGCUGUUCGCCAUUUAAAGUGGUACGCGAGCUGGGUUUAGAACGUCGUGAGACAGUUCGGUCCCUAUCUGCCGUGGGCGCUGGAGAACUGAGGGGGGCUGCUCCUAGUACGAGAGGACCGGAGUGGACGCAUCACUGGUGUUCGGGUUGUCAUGCCAAUGGCACUGCCCGGUAGCUAAAUGCGGAAGAGAUAAGUGCUGAAAGCAUCUAAGCACGAAACUUGCCCCGAGAUGAGUUCUCCCUGAGACUUAGAGUCUCCUGAAGGAACGUUGAAGACGACGACGUUG
RNAcentral lists this ribosomal RNA (2678 nucleotides) under Salmonella enterica subsp. enterica serovar Enteritidis. RNAcentral's name for it is "partial 23S ribosomal RNA". It matches the Rfam family "Bacterial large subunit ribosomal RNA". The record is from RNAcentral. Lineage: Bacteria; Pseudomonadati; Pseudomonadota; Gammaproteobacteria; Enterobacterales; Enterobacteriaceae.